GAUGAAGAACGUAGCGAAAUGCGAUACUUGGUGUGAAUUGCAGAAUCCCGCGAAUCAUCGAGUUUUUGAACGCAAGUUGCGCCCGAAGCCAUUCGGCCGAGGGCACGUCUGCCUGGGUGUCACGCAUCGUUGCCCCCCCAAACUCCGGUUCGGGCAGGGCGGAAGUUGGCCUCCCGCGCGUGCCUGCGCGCGCGGUUAGCCCAAAAGCGAGUCCUCGGCGACGAGCGCCACGACAAUCGGUGGUUUUUUUACCCUCGUUCCUCGUCGUGCGUGCCCCGUCGCCCGAACGCGCUCUUGCGACCCUUACGCGUCGCCUCGGCGGCGCUCCCAACGCGACCCCAGGUCAGGCGGGACUACCCGCUGAGUUUAAGCAUAUCAAUAAGCGGAGGA
This 390-nucleotide unclassified non-coding RNA is filed under the name soil metagenome. Its description in RNAcentral is "partial contains 5.8S ribosomal RNA, internal transcribed spacer 2, and large subunit ribosomal RNA". The stretch from base 1 to 122 matches the Rfam family "5.8S ribosomal RNA", at positions 35 to 154 of the family's 154-position model. The record is from RNAcentral.